RNAcentral lists this long non-coding RNA (440 nucleotides) under Bos indicus x Bos taurus (hybrid cattle). RNAcentral's name for it is "lncRNA (ENSBIXG00000022855.1)". Lineage: Eukaryota; Metazoa; Chordata; Mammalia; Artiodactyla; Bovidae. The record is from RNAcentral.
AAGGUGUUUGUUUAUUUCACUGUUACCACUGUUUAUUUGACAAUAAUUGAUUUAGUCUAUAAGUUUAAGACAAACAUACUGAUACAUUUGCUUUUCUUCAGAAAUCAUACUUAUAAAAAUUACAUAAAGUCUGUCCCAAACCUCCUAAGAAAUGUCCAUUAAUUAAAAAUAAGUCUGAUUAAGAUGCUUUGCCAGGAUACAAGAGUGAACUAAGGUGGUGUACAAUGUUUUUUAAAAAAAAAAACAAUUAAAAAAAAAAAAACUCAAAAUGGCAAUCUCACCUUGUUUGAGCAAUGUAUUUUGAAAGGGUUAAACUUCAGGAAGUUCAGUUCAGUUCAGUUCAGUUCAGUCGCUCAGUCGUGUCCGACUCUUUGCAACCCCAUGAAUCGCAGCACGCCAGGCCUCCCUGUCCAUCACCAACUCCCGGAGUUCACUCAGAC